GCCCCCGUGGUGUAACGGAAUAGCGCACGAGGCUUCUAACCUCGCAGAGAGGGUUUGAGUCCUUCCGGGGGUUCUA
Molecule: transfer RNA, 76 nt
Filed under: Gammaproteobacteria bacterium
Lineage: Bacteria; Pseudomonadati; Pseudomonadota; Gammaproteobacteria
Description: tRNA-Arg
Rfam family: tRNA
About the family: Transfer RNA (tRNA) molecules are approximately 80 nucleotides in length. Their secondary structure includes four short double-helical elements and three loops (D, anti-codon, and T loops). Further hydrogen bonds mediate the characteristic L-shaped molecular structure. tRNAs have two regions of fundamental functional importance: the anti-codon, which is responsible for specific mRNA codon recognition, and the 3' end, to which the tRNAs corresponding amino acid is attached (by aminoacyl-tRNA synthetases). tRNAs cope with the degeneracy of the genetic code in two manners: having more than one tRNA (with a specific anti-codon) for a particular amino acid; and 'wobble' base-pairing, i.e. permitting non-standard base-pairing at the 3rd anti-codon position.
Source: RNAcentral